The sequence is a regulatory RNA element, 61 nucleotides long. It matches the Rfam family "L17 ribosomal protein downstream element". The record is from Rfam.
AAAGCGUUAUGAUGAUGGAUUUAUUCCAAGUCUAGCUUGAAUGGAGAUUUUAUCUUCGUAC